This 216-nucleotide unclassified non-coding RNA is filed under the name soil metagenome. RNAcentral describes it as "partial contains 5.8S ribosomal RNA, internal transcribed spacer 2, and large subunit ribosomal RNA". The record is from RNAcentral.
AACCAUUCUCACCUGCGGCUAGACCUGCGGAAGGAUCAUUACAAGUGACCCCGGUCUAACCACCGGGAUGUUCAUAACCCUUUGUUGUCCGACUCUGUUGCCUCCGGGGCGACCCUGCCUUCGGGCGGGGGCUCCGGGUGGACACUUCAAACUCUUGCGUAACUUUGCAGUCUGAGUAAACUUAAUUAAUAAAUUAAAACUUUCAGCAACGGAUCU